CUCGGUUUUUACAGCGCUGUCGACCCACCUCUUCCCAUUCCGAACAGAGAAGUGAAAGGCAGCAGCGUUGACGAUAGCUGUUGGGCAACUGACCGUGAAAAUAGACCAAGGCCGGGC
RNAcentral lists this ribosomal RNA (117 nucleotides) under Candidatus Blackburnbacteria bacterium RIFCSPHIGHO2_12_FULL_41_13b. Lineage: Bacteria; Candidatus Blackburniibacteriota. The record is from RNAcentral.